UGUAGGUCAAAAGUCAGGAAUGGAUCUCACUGGGCUAAAAUCAAGGUGUUGGUCAGCUGGCUUUAUUCCUUUCUGAGGGCUCUUGAGUUUGUUUCCUUGCUCAUGCAGAUGUUGGAAGAAUUCAGUUCCAUGCAGUUAAAGGACUGAGGUAUGUUUCCUCACUGGUUGUCAACUGGGAGCUACCCUUUACUCUUAGAAGCUCCUUUCUGAUCCUUGCACAUAGCCUCCUACAUCUCAGGAUCAAAUUCUUCCCAUCCUGCCAUCUCUUUGACCCAGCUAGUCAGCAUUCUCUACUUUUAAAUACUUUAGUGAUUAGAUUGGGCCCACCUGGAUAAUCCUGGCUACUCUUCCCAUCUGAAGGGUAACCUUAACUACUUCUGCAGAGUCCCUUUUGCCAUGUAAGGUAACAUAUUCAUAAAUUUAGGGGAUUAAGGUGUAAACAUCUUUGCAGGGUGUGGGGAGGACAUUAUUCUGCCAAACAAAGAAAUGGGCUGUCAGUCUAAUUGUCUUUCCUUUGUAGAUGAUUUGGCUGUUCUCUCUAGCUGCUUUUAAGAUCUGGCUGUUUCUUGGAAUGUAUUUCUUAUUUAUCCUUGUGAACACUGACUCUCCUCCAUUCUCUUUUAAAAUUCCUACUAAGCACAAACUAGAUCUUUCUUCACUCUUUCUUUCUCUCUUUCUUUCUUAACAGGGUCUUGCUCUGUCACCCAGGCUGGAGUGCAGUUGCUCUAUCAUGACUCACUGCAGCCUCAAAUGCUUGGACUCGAGCAAUCCUUCAGGCUAAAAGGUUUAUGAAGACAUCUGUCUUGUCCGGCAUCAUAUCCUGGGACCCACAAAGUGACUGAAAUAUAUCUGGUGGUCAAUAUAUAUUUGGUGAGUAGAUAAUAUGUCCUCAUGGUGUUUGAGUGGCAUUGCUUGAUGUAGCUGAAUCCAAAUAGAAUAUCAGCUUUUUUAUGUCCUUCCACUUCAAAUUGUUUCAUUUUACACAUAAUUUUUCAGAGCCAGUUAAUCAGACAAAGAUGAUUUAUUUUCAUACCUAAAGCACUUUAUAAUAUUCUCUGGAAA
Molecule: long non-coding RNA, 1062 nt
Filed under: Homo sapiens (human)
Lineage: Eukaryota; Metazoa; Chordata; Mammalia; Primates; Hominidae
Description: HSALNT0059618
Source: RNAcentral